UAGGAGAAGAAAAACAAACUUUUUUUGCCCCUUCCAUUUUCAACGAUGUCAUAAUUUCGUGGGCUCCAUAUUACCUAGCGUCGAAAACUCCUGACCUGCCGUGGUGCGUCGACCUCAUCUUCGCGGAGCUUCACCAAAGUGUAGGUGGCAGAACCGAUCACAGCACCCAGUGUGGGCGCUAUCAAGUAAAUCCACAAUGCCCUAUAAUUCCCUGCUGCUACAGCCGGCCCCAGUGUCCUCACCGGAUUCAUUGAACCCCCACUACUUGGCCUGCAACACCAAAGGUCAACCACUCCUUUUUAUUUUUAUCACAAUUAUUGUCACCCACUUUUUAUAUUUCUAAUAUUUCUAUCAAAUGUCCAUCCAUGACACGUUGCUACCUAUGUUCCCAACUUGUCACUUCUGGUUUAUGUGUACACACCACGUCUAAUAAUUUAAUUAUAUAACUACAUCAGAAUGUUUAUUAUCAACUCGGUUUAAAUUUUAUUAAGAUAUCGGAUACUAUUUCAACGAGCAUUAGUUGGGAAAUAAGUCAGACUUCAUUAAAAUCCUCAUUUUUUUGUCCUUGAACCAAAGUAAAGUUUAACAAUAAUAUUUAAGAAACAAAAAAAGAUGAGACUUAUGAAUUUAUUAUAUUCAUUUCUAAGCAUGCAUCCCAUUAACUUUUAAGAAAAAAAAACAAGUUCAGACGAAAUAUAGAUUAGAAAGAAAAAAAAAACCUUAAAACAUGGCAACAAGAAAAAGGAAAUGGAUAAGGGUGAAGAGAAGAAGCGAACAAAGAACUCACCCAGCAACAAGAAUGUUGAGCAUUACAGUCGCCCCAACAGCUAUUCCAGCCAGCUCUCCCACCUGUAAGGUUAACAUGAUCACUUUCAACAUGGAAAUCGAUUUUCUUAAAAAAGAAAUGUUAAAUUUACAGUGUAAAGACAAACAUACGGCGCGGGUGUCGGUGGCAACGGCGGUGACGACGAAGAGAAGAUUAAAAGUAAUGAGGAACUCGAGUGCGAAAGCUUGUCCAUGGCUGACGGAGGGGACAGUAACGCCACCAGACAUGAAGGGAUGGAAGACUCCCUUUAGAGCGAAAGAAGCGCAAAUUGAAGCCGAAACUUGAGCUGCUAUGUAGGCUGGAACCUGAGUCCAGGGGAAAUGACGGCAGGCGGCAAAUGCAAUGGUGAGGGAAGGGUUAAGAUGAGCCCCAGAGAUGUG
Molecule: long non-coding RNA, 1206 nt
Filed under: Gossypium raimondii (Peruvian cotton)
Lineage: Eukaryota; Viridiplantae; Streptophyta; Magnoliopsida; Malvales; Malvaceae
Description: long non-coding RNA (GRAI_LNC002913)
Source: RNAcentral